UACGUAGGUGACCAGCGUUGUCCGGAUUUACUGGGCGUAAAGAGCGCGCAGGCGGUCGUUCAAGUCGAGUGUGAAAGCCCCCGGCUCAACUGGGGAGGGUCAUUCGAUACUGCCGUGCUUGAGGACUGGAGAGGAGACUGGAAUUUACGGUGUAGCGGUGAAAUGCGUAGAUAUCGUAAGGAAGACCAGUGGCGAAGGCGGGUCUCUGGACAGUUCCUGACGCUGAGGCACGAAGGUCAGGGGAGCAAACGGG
RNAcentral lists this ribosomal RNA (253 nucleotides) under uncultured bacterium. Its description in RNAcentral is "partial 16S ribosomal RNA". It matches the Rfam family "Bacterial small subunit ribosomal RNA", at positions 524 to 776 of the family's 1533-position model. The record is from RNAcentral.